RNAcentral lists this transfer RNA (88 nucleotides) under Gammaproteobacteria bacterium. RNAcentral's name for it is "tRNA-Ser". It matches the Rfam family "tRNA". Rfam says of the family: Transfer RNA (tRNA) molecules are approximately 80 nucleotides in length. Their secondary structure includes four short double-helical elements and three loops (D, anti-codon, and T loops). Lineage: Bacteria; Pseudomonadati; Pseudomonadota; Gammaproteobacteria. The record is from RNAcentral. RNAcentral also lists the same sequence under 2 other names.
GGAAGCGUGGCCGAGUGGUUUAAGGCAGCGGUCUUGAAAACCGCCGAGUCGAAAGGCUCCGUGAGUUCGAAUCUCACCGCUUCCGCCA